Temnothorax curvispinosus is the source of this 1431-nucleotide long non-coding RNA. RefSeq lists it as uncharacterized. NCBI's taxonomy places the organism in Eukaryota, Metazoa, Arthropoda, Insecta, Hymenoptera, Formicidae. The record is from RefSeq and is a predicted model, not a curated record. The transcript has 3 exons.
AUUCGGCGUCGUCGGUGAAAGCAACACGCCGCGAGCGGACUUUAUUUUCUGAUCCGUAUUAAUUUAUAUAUUCUGAGUAGUAUACGAGAAUGUACGAAAAAUAAUAUACUACUGUGAGAUAUUACAAGUACAUCCUGAGAAUUUACGAAAAAUAAUGUACUACCGUGAGAUAUUACAAGUACAUCCUGAGAAUUUACUAAAAAUAAUGUACUACUAGAGAUGUUAUAGAAAUGUUCCAGGUAUAUUAUAUACGGUACGUAUAUGUACAGUACGAGUACAGAACAUUCGAAUGAUAUCAUGUGCUGUAUGGGGAACGUACGACGGAAAACCUAGCUACAUGGCUUUCGCGUUAUCGGGCGAGCCAUCUCGCCGCGGCAGAGGCGGUUUCCGUAUUUGGAAAAUCCUUUAACGAGGAUCCAUUGGAGGGCAAGUCUGGUGCCAGCAGCAGCAGCAGCAGUUUUAUUGUAGACACGUGGCUCUGCGGACGUAGACCGCCAUUGCUUCUCUCAUAAAAUUUCCAAUUUUGCUGAUAUCCUUCGAAGAUUGAGGAUUGGAAAGAAAUUGGAGGUUUGGAAUUGACGUUAUAUUUGAGAGCUUUAAAUUUCACUGUUGUGUGCAUCUGGCAAUUGCUUAUCACAUUGAUGCGGUGACUAAGGAAUUUCCAACAAUAAACGAGACGAUGAAUUUCAGAAAUUAACAAACGAUCGAAUAAUUUUUGCACAAGCCUGAACUAUAGAAUUAGAUGAGGAAGGAACAAAUAAUAAAGAAUCCAUUUAUUGAGAGAGAGAUUGCGUUUCGUAAUUUAUAUGUAAUUCCAAAAAAAAAGAAGUUUAGAGUGGGCAGAAUUAUACAAAGAAUACCAACAUUUGUUGCAUAGGAGAAGGGAAACUGCCCGAAAACCUUCUCAGUAUUCGUGAACAAAAUUAUACAUAAUUAAUAUAAAAGACAAUAUAAGUACAACAAAAGUAUCAAAUGCAUAACAGAAACAAAUAAAUGGUUAUUAUAGAACAAUCCUUUCUUUUAAUUAUAGCAAAAUAUAUUUGCAUUCAAUUAUGCAUCUCUGUAUUCUAUAAUCAGGUUCGUUAUCAAAAGAAUGGUAAUAUAAUAUGUAAGUUCAUACUUUAUCUUGACGUAGUCAAAGUAAAACAAAUCACGUAAUAUCAAGAAAGGAUUAUUCCAUUAGUCGAGCCAAUCAUUUAGAACAUAAAAUUCAAUGCAAACAUAAUUUAAAUAGUCGUUGAAAUAAUAUAUCAAUCUUUGAGUUUUAAUAAUAAUUAAUCUUAAUUGGCCUUUUACUAUUUACCAUAUAGACUGUUUGUUUCUGAACGAAAGACUCAUUUUAAACAAAAUCAUGUGUUAAAUAAAAGAAAAUGAACUAUAAGAAUUUCUUGAUUUCUAAUAUUUAUAGGCCUUCUGUUUUUGAUUGAAACA